GUCUACGGCCAUACCACCCUGAACGCGCCCGAUCUCGUCUGAUCUCGGAAGCUAAGCAGGGUCGGACCUGGUUAGUACUUGGAUGGGAGAUUUGGAAGGAAGGCUCCAGGAUCUUGAAGACA
Molecule: ribosomal RNA, 122 nt
Filed under: Ochotona princeps (American pika)
Lineage: Eukaryota; Metazoa; Chordata; Mammalia; Lagomorpha; Ochotonidae
Source: RNAcentral